CCGAAGGGAAACCGAGUCUUAACUGGGCGUUGAGUUGCAAGGUAUAGACCCGAAACCCGGUGAUCUAGCCAUGGGCAGGUUGAAGGUUGGGUAACACUAACUGGAGGACCGAACCGACUAAUGUUGAAAAAUUAGCGGAUGACUUGUGGCUGGGGGUGAAAGGCCAAUCAAACCGGGAGAUAGCUGGUUCUCCCCGAAAUCUAUUUAGGUAGAGCCUUGAGCGGACACCUUCGGGGGUAGAGCACUGUUUCGGCUAGGGGUCCAUCCCGGAUUACCAACCCGAUGCAAACUGCGAAUACCGAAGAGUGAUACUCAGGAGACACACGGCGGGUGCUAACGUUCGUCGUGGAGAGGGAAACAACCCAGACCGCCAGCUAAGGUCCCAAAGUCUAUAUUAAGUGGGAAACGAAGUGGGAAGGCUUAGACAGCUAGGAUGUUGGCUUAGAAGCAGCCAUCAUUUAAAGAAAGCGUAAUAGCUCACUAGUCGAGUCGGCCUGCGCGGAAGAUGUAACGGGGCUCAAAUAUAGCACCGAAGCUGCGGCAUCAGAAUUUAUUCUGUUGGGUAGGGGAGCGUUGUGUAAGCGGAUGAAGGUGGCUCGAGAGGGUUGCUGGACGUAUCACAAGUGCGAAUGCUGACAUAAGUAACGAUAAAACGAGUGAAAAACUCGUUCGCCGGAAGACCAAGGGUUCCUGUCCAACGUUAAUCGGGGCAGGGUGAGUCGGCCCCUAAGGCGAGGCUGAAAAGCGUAGUCGAUGGGAAACGGGUUAAUAUUCCCGUACUUGGAUAAACUGCGAUGUGGGGACGGAGAAGGUUAGGUUAGCAGACUGUUGGAUGUCUGUUUAAGGUGGUAGGUGGAAGACUUAGGCAAAUCCGGGUCUUUAUAAACACUGAGAGCUGAUGACGAGGUCUUAAGGGACUGAAGUAACUGAUACCCUGCUUCCAGGAAAAGCCACUAAGCUUCAGGUUUAUCUAAACCGUACUGAAAACCGACACAGGUGGUCAGGUAGAGAAUACUCAGGCGCUUGAGAGAACUCGGGUGAAGGAACUAGGCAAAAUAGCACCGUAACUUCGGGAGAAGGUGCGCUUACAGUAAUUGUAGUCCCUUGCGGAUGAAGGUGAAGUAAGUCGAAGAUACCAGCUGGCUGCAACUGUUUAUUAAAAACACAGCACUCUGCAAACACGAAAGUGGACGUAUAGGGUGUGAUGCCUGCCCGGUGCUGGAAGGUUAAUUGAUGGUGUUAUCGAAAGAGAAGCUCCUGAUCGAAGCCCCAGUAAACGGCGGCCGUAACUAUAACGGUCCUAAGGUAGCGAAAUUCCUUGUCGGGUAAGUUCCGACCUGCACGAAUGGCAUAAUGAUGGCCAGGCUGUCUCCACCCGAGACUCAGUGAAAUUGAAAUCGCCGUGAAGAUGCGGUGUACCCGCGGCUAGACGGAAAGACCCCGUGAACCUUUACUAUAGCUUGACACUGAACAUUGAAUUUUGAUGUGUAGGAUAGGUGGGAGCCUUUGAAGCAGUGACGCCAGUCAUUGUGGAGGCGACCUUGAAAUACCACCCUUUAACGUUUGAUGUUCUAACGAAGUGCCUGAAACGGGUACUCGGACAGUGUCUGGUGGGUAGUUUGACUGGGGCGGUCUCCUCCCAAAGCGUAACGGAGGAGCACGAAGGUUUGCUAAUGACGGUCGGACAUCGUCAGGUUAGUGCAAUGGUAUAAGCAAGCUUAACUGCGAGACAGACAAGUCGAGCAGGUGCGAAAGCAGGUCAUAGUGAUCCGGUGGUUCUGAAUGGAAGGGCCAUCGCUCAACGGAUAAAAGGUACUCCGGGGAUAACAGGCUGAUACCGCCCAAGAGUUCAUAUCGACGGCGGUGUUUGGCACCUCGAUGUCGGCUCAUCACAUCCUGGGGCUGAAGUAGGUCCCAAGGGUAUGGCUGUUCGCCAUUUAAAGUGGUACGCGAGCUGGGUUUAGAACGUCGUGAGACAGUUCGGUCCCUAUCUGCCGUGGGCGUUGGAUGAUUGAUUGGGGCUGCUCCUAGUACGAGAGGACCGGAGUGGACGCAUCACUGGUGUUCCAGUUGUCUCGCCAGAGGCAUUGCUGGGUAGCUAAAUGCGGAAGAGAUAAGUGCUGAAAGCAUCUAAGCACGAAACUUGCCAAGAGAUGAGUCAUCCCUGACUUUAAGUCAGUAAGGGUUGUUGUAGACUACGACGUAGAUAGGUUGGGUGUGUAAGUGUAGUGAUACAUUGAGCUAACCAAUACUAAUUGCCCGAGAGGCUUAACUAU
RNAcentral lists this ribosomal RNA (2276 nucleotides) under Pasteurella multocida. Its description in RNAcentral is "partial 23S ribosomal RNA". It matches the Rfam family "Bacterial large subunit ribosomal RNA", at positions 666 to 2925 of the family's 2925-position model. Lineage: Bacteria; Pseudomonadati; Pseudomonadota; Gammaproteobacteria; Pasteurellales; Pasteurellaceae. The record is from RNAcentral.